Molecule: ribosomal RNA, 301 nt
Filed under: uncultured bacterium
Lineage: Bacteria
Description: partial 16S ribosomal RNA
Rfam family: Bacterial small subunit ribosomal RNA
Source: RNAcentral
CAGUCGCCGCGGUAAUACGAAGGGUGCAAGCGUUAAUCGGAAUUACUGGGCGUAAAGCGUGCGUAGGCGGUUUGUUAAGUCUGUUGUGAAAUCCCCGGGCUCAACCUGGGAAUGGCAAUGGAUACUGGCAAGCUAGAGUGUGUCAGAGGAUGGUGGAAUUCCCGGUGUAGCGGUGAAAUGCGUAGAGAUCGGGAGGAGCAUCAGUGGCGAAGGCGGCCAUCUGGGACAACACUGACGCUGAGGCACGAAAGCGUGGGGAGCAAACAGGAUUAGAUACCCCCGUAGUCCUGUCUCUUAUACC